UGGGUCCCGUGCCUCUUUCCCCAGAGCACCAGCUCAAAGCCCGCCCUGUAGGCCAUGAGCACAGAGACCUGUAACCCUGGGUGCCAACAGCUUGCUCAGCUCGGCUCCUGGGCCCAGCUAGUGCUCUGCACACAGCGGAGCUCCUCCUCCUCCUCAAGUCCUUGUGCCAUCCCAGGAGCUCUUCCCCAGGCAGCAGUGAGGAAACAGUCCCAUAACAAAGACGCUGGGGCAGUUUGAGAAACUCGGAAGCUGUGCUUGUCACUCGGGCACUGUCCUGACGCCAGGGCCUGGCACCAGCUCACUCCGGUCGGGGCUCAGAACACGCUGCCACCACUGCCUGGACCAUGUCCCCACCUGCUUCACAGGAGAGCACAGCCCGAGGCUAAGGCCCCCAGGCUCGGGGCGUUCAGCCAGGGCCAUGAUGGUUCCUCAAACUGCGUGGCUUUCUCCCUCCCCCAAAGGGUGAGAUUGGAAAAUAAUCAUUGGAGAGCGUUGACUAAAUGAAACAAUGCAUAUUGCACAACCCAGCAACCUGGGAGCCAUUUUAACACCUGACUCUUGCUUAUUCCUUGCAUCCAAUUCAAAAUAAACCCUGUCAACCUCA
Molecule: long non-coding RNA, 604 nt
Organism: Heterocephalus glaber (naked mole-rat)
Lineage: Eukaryota; Metazoa; Chordata; Mammalia; Rodentia; Bathyergidae
Source: RefSeq, a predicted model, not a curated record